RNAcentral lists this non-coding RNA (104 nucleotides) under Guyparkeria sp. XI15. RNAcentral describes it as "Halothiobacillus sp. XI15 SAH (S-adenosyl-L-homocysteine) riboswitch aptamer". It matches the Rfam family "SAH (S-adenosyl-L-homocysteine) riboswitch aptamer". RNAcentral also lists the same sequence under 1 other name. The record is from Rfam by way of RNAcentral. Lineage: Bacteria; Pseudomonadati; Pseudomonadota; Gammaproteobacteria; Chromatiales; Thioalkalibacteraceae.
CCGACCGAGGAGCGCUGCAAUCCGCCCAUCGCGGAUCAGGCUCGGCCGGGACGCGGCGGCCGAGGCAUUCGCCCCGGCCACCCGAUCAACGGCGCUCUUGAGAA